This 460-nucleotide ribosomal RNA is filed under the name uncultured bacterium. RNAcentral's name for it is "partial 16S ribosomal RNA". It matches the Rfam family "Bacterial small subunit ribosomal RNA", at positions 338 to 795 of the family's 1533-position model. The record is from RNAcentral.
CCUACGGGGGGCAGCAGUGAGGAAUAUUGGUCAAUGGACGAGAGUCUGAACCAGCCAAGUAGCGUGAAGGAUGACUGCCCUAUGGGUUGUAAACUUCUUUUAUAUGGGAAUAAAACGUUCCACGUGUGGGAUUUUGUAUGUACCAUAUGAAUAAGGAUCGGCUAACUCCGUGCCAGCAGCCGCGGUAAUACGGAGGAUCCGAGCGUUAUCCGGAUUUAUUGGGUUUAAAGGGAGCGUAGGUGGAUUGUUAAGUCAGUUGUGAAAGUUUGCGGCUCAACCGUAAAAUUGCAGUUGAUACUGGCAGUCUUGAGUACAGUAGAGGUGGGCGGAAUUCGUGGUGUAGCGGUGAAAUGCUUAGAUAUCACGAAGAACUCCGAUUGCGAAGGCAGUUCACUGGACUGCAACUGACACUGAGGCUCGAAAGUGUGGGUAUCAAACAGGAUUAGAGACCCGGGUAGUC